RNAcentral lists this ribosomal RNA (90 nucleotides) under Mustela nudipes. RNAcentral's name for it is "partial 16S ribosomal RNA". The record is from RNAcentral. Lineage: Eukaryota; Metazoa; Chordata; Mammalia; Carnivora; Mustelidae.
GAAUAAAACAACCUCCGAGUGAUUUAAUCACAGACUAACCAGUCGAAGCAUUCUAUCAUUCAUUGAUCCAAUAACUUGAUCAACGGAACA